GGGUGCUAGUGGCGCACGGGUGCGUAACGCGUGGGAAUCUGCCCUUUGGUUCGGAAUAACAGCUGGAAACGGCUGCUAAUACCGGAUGAUGACGAAAGUCCAAAGAUUUAUCGCCAGAGGAUGAGCCCGCGUUGGAUUAGGUAGUUGGUGGGGUAAAGGCCUACCAAGCCGACGAUCCAUAGCUGGUCUGAGAGGAUGAUCAGCCACACUGGGACUGAGACACGGCCCAGACUCCUACGGGAGGCAGCAGUGGGGAAUAUUGGACAAUGGGCGCAAGCCUGAUCCAGCAAUGCCGCGUGAGUGAUGAAGGCCCUAGGGUUGUAAAGCUCUUUUACCCGGGAAGAUAAUGACUGUACCGGGAGAAUAAGCCCCGGCUAACUCCGUGCCAGCAGCCGCGGUAAUACGGAGGGGGCUAGCGUUGUUACGGAAUUACUGGGCGUAAAGCGCACGUAGGCGGCUUUGUAAGUCAGAGGUGAGAGCCUGGAGCUCAACUCCAGAACUGCCUUUGAGACUGCAUCGCUUGAAUCCAGGAGAGGUCAGUGGAAUUCCGAGUGUAGAGGUGAAAUUCGUAGAUAUUCGGAAGAACACCGAGUGGCGAAGGCGGCUGACUGGACUGGUAUUGACGCUGAGGUGCGAAAGCGUGGGGAGCAAACUAGGAUUAGAUACCCUGGUAGUCCACGCCGUAAACGAUGAUAACUAGCUGUCCGGGCACUUGGUGCUUGGGUGGCGCAGCUAACG
RNAcentral lists this ribosomal RNA (738 nucleotides) under uncultured bacterium. RNAcentral describes it as "bacterial SSU rRNA". It matches the Rfam family "Bacterial small subunit ribosomal RNA", at positions 87 to 857 of the family's 1533-position model. The record is from RNAcentral.